AGAAAUAGAAAAACAACGAAAUUUGGCCCAAAAAAAAGGCCUAAGAAAAUUUAGCAUAAAACAAAAAACAGAACAAUCUAGAAAUGUGAAAGCACCAAAAAUUGCCUAAUCAGAAUUCUUUGAAUUGCCCGUCCUAUCCAAAAGACAUCGUUUCCUUUUUGACGGUAUCAAUUCUCAGGAAAGCUUGUUCUUCAAAAACCUGUUGAUAUGCUAUGUGAAACUUUCCUUUCUUCUUUCCCCUUCUUCGGUCAAUUUCAGUCUGGUUCUCGCAUCCAGUCAGCAUUCUUUUGUUUUUCGACAUACCUAGGGACGUUCUUUAGUAGGUAAAACUCCCCACUCUUUUUUAAAUAUUAUGUUGCUAGUAUAUGGGCUAAACCAUUUGCUGAUCUCGGAGUAUAUCUGAAUACAAUAUUAUUGAAUCCAACUGUUAUCUGUUGAAUAUCAUGUAUAUAUGCUCCUACUUGUGAUCUGUCUUGACUUUUUUAUUAUCACUUCUUGAUGAUGGCUAAUAAGUCUCUUUCAGUAAUGAUUUCCGGCCACUACAUUUCAAUGCCUAUUUAGACUACUUUACGGCAUGCAAGUACUUCAUUAACGAAAAUGGAGGCCACGUCUUUAUGGGUCUCUAAGCAGGAUAAAAAAAGAUCCCCUCAACGUUUCUGACCACAAAACCCGAGGCUAAUUUUUAGUGACACCCAUCAUAUGCACCGUCAAAAUUGAUCUUAACAAUAGAACCAGGUGGGUGACUCCAUUCUCUCAGCUCCUGCAGUUUUGAGGAUUUUUUUCGAUAUCGUUUAACUCAAUUAUGUAAUUUUUAACAAAUCUCGCUAUUUCCUAACUAGUGCUAAUUUUCCUCUCAUGGAUUCUAGCAUUUCUAUCUCCCCAAAUGGCCCAGAGCUCAAAACAGAAUAUUCGACAGUGGUGGGGGGACACUCAUAAAAAACCUAGGUAAGCCACUGUGUAAAAUCUAUAGUAGUAUCAAUAAGAGUAUUCGAGAAUAAUAAUGCUGUCUAGACUUCAACUGAAAUAGGGCAUUCGCGGAACAGAUGAUCACUUGUUUCAACCCCUCUUCCAUAUUAGGGACAGGUUGUAUUAGUGACUAGUUUCCCAUGAUGCAUGUUGACUAGUGUAGGCAAGUAGUUCCAUGAUACCCUCUAGAUUCUAAUUUUUAUUUUACUAGGGAGAUUUUGAUGCUUGAGUUUUUUUUGGUAGAAGUUUCUAUAGUUGGUUUGUAAAACAUAAGCUCUAGGAUUAGCACAUGAAUUUUGUAAUAGUUUAUACGCGUUACGAACCAAAAAUUUACUGAAGGCUCACCAUUCCAUAUGAGAAAAUCAUGUGGUUUUUGUGCCAGCGAGAUACGGAGUAUCUUCUCAGCAUCUCCCUCCAAAAAGGUAUUAACAAUCAACUUUCGUUUCCAUAUUUGAUUAUUUGUAUCAAUUAACUUAGCAACUUUAGAAUCUUUCAUAUUACGAACAAGAGAAGAUAAUUUGAAAGUUUUUGCAUUUGGAAUCCAAGCAUCAUUAUUAAUUGUAACAUUCAUACCUGUACCCACACUUCAGCAAAGCCCUUUUGCCAAAAUACCAUCCGUCGCCCAAAUACUUCUCCAUGUGUUGUAUUCCCCAAUCGCGAGUUAAUGAAGUCAUUAUUUGGGAAAUACUUUGCUUUAAGCACUCGUGAAAAUAGAGAAUUUGGGUUGUUAAUAAUCCGCUAGUCUUGUUUUGCCAGUAAGGAAAUAUUAAACUGACCAUACUUCUAAAACCUAUUCCCCCUUCAUCUUUUGAACGACACAUAUGCUUCCACUGGCACCAGUGUAUUCCUUUCUUCUCAUGUCCUUUUUGCAACCAAAAUUUAGCUAAAAUGUUUUCUAAUUCCCACAUAAGGAUUUCAAAAUUAGAAAGCAUGACAUAGCAUAAGUUGGUAUUACAUGGAGCACUGAUUUUAUGAAGAUCUCCUUACCCCAUUAUGAUAGUAGUGUUGUACUCCAUCAUUCGAUUCGAAAAUAUACCCUAUCCAUAAGAUUUUGAAAGGAUUCUUUCUUUCAUCUGCCCACCACAUUUUGGAGUCCCAAAUAUUUUUUGGGUCCGUUGAACUUCUCACACCCUACAAAGUCGAUAUUCUUCCUUUUUCCCUUCUCUUUUGUAUUUAAAUUGUAGAAGAUAGUUGAUUUGUUAAAAUUCACACAUUGGCCUGAACAUUGUUCGUAUUCCAUCAUAAUUUCUUUCAAAACCAACGUUAUUUUAUUUGUUGAUUCACCAAAUAGGAUACAAUCAUCCGCGAAGAGUAAGUGUGAUAUCUUUGGUCCCCUUCUGCUAGCUUUUGCUCCUUUUAACAAUCCCUCUCGCAUAGCUAGUCUCAUUAAAGAUGAAAGUCCCUCACUACAUAGUAGAAAAAGGAAAGGACUAAGUGGGUCGCCUUGUUGGGGCCCCAUUGUAGGUUUGAAAAUGUUUCCGCUUUUCCCAUUAAUUUUUACUACGUAAGAAAUCGUGGAAAUACAUUUCAUAAUUAGUGCCACCAAUUCUGCUGCAAAGCCCAUUCGUAGCAUUACUUCCUUUAGAAAGCUCCAUUCAACUCUAUAUAAGCUUUGCUCAUAUCGAGCUUUACUGCCAUAUAUCCUUUCUUUUUGGUAUGUUUCUAGCGAAAAGUGUGUAAAAUCUUAUAGGCUAAUAGCACAUUUUCAAAAAUUAAUCUUUCGAGAACGAAAGCACUUUGAGCACUGUCAAUACAUUUCCCAAUAACUCCUUAAAGAUGAUUUGGUAUUGUUUUCUCCACAAUUUUAUAAAUGAUAGUACACAAACUAAAAGGUCUAAAAUUAACAAGACUUGUAGGGUUCAGGAUUUUUGGAAUAAGCACAAUAUUCGUCAAAUUUAUAGAGUCAAAACCAUUAACAUCAUUCAAAAUUCUGACAUCUUUACCUACAAUGUGCCAAUAUCUCUAAAAGAAUAAUACCGGAAAACCAUCUGUUCCUGGUGCUUUAAUAGGACCCAUUCCUUUUAAAGCUGAAUAAACCUUUUCUGUCGUGUAUGUUGAUAAUAAAGUUGUAUUGAUAUUAGAGGAGAUACUAGAGUCGAUACCCGUUAGUAGAUGGGAUAAAUUCCCAAUCUCAUUAGAUGAAAAUAACUUCUGAAAAACAUAGUGGUAACCUCACUAAUCUCAUCUUCGUCGCAGAUCUCCUUUCCUUCAUCUAAUUCCAGCCUAUUUAUUGUGUUUAUCUAUCCACAAAAUAAGGCAUGUUUAUGAAAGAAGGCUGAAUUCUUGUCCCCUAGUUGAAGCCAAUUGGCCCAUGCUGUUUGUUCCCAAAACAUCUCAUCUUUAUCAAUCUCCAAAUUAAGUUCAAUUUUUGUAUCAAUUAGCGUUGUCAUUGUGUCUUCACCCCUCUCUUUCUCUAAAAAAUUUCUAACUCCUUAGUAAGUUUCCAUUUUAAACCUUCCCAACCUUUCUUAAUUAUACUUGCCCACCUCUUCAGUCUGAAUUGCAACCUUUCUAGUUUUUCAAUGAGCAUACCAGUUGAGGACUCCCAAGAGUUCUUAAUUUCUUAUUCAAUAGAUUCUUCCAUAGUCUACCACGCCUCAAAUUUAAACCUUGGGAUCCCCAUACAAAUUCUUGCAUUAUAUGUAUUUAGGAGAAGGAGGUAGUGGUUCGAUAUUGAGUGUGGUAAAUGUCGGAUACUGCCUUUUGAAAAAAGAUACAACUAUUUUUCAUUCGCAACUCCCCUGUCUAAUCUCUCCAUGAUGUUUGUUUCUGGCAAGUUCCCUUUCUCUAAUGUAAACCAUACCCCAGUAUACCCUACAUCCAUUAAUUGGCAUUCUUCAACAACAUCACAGAAUGCCUCCAUUCUUCUCUCCUCCCUCGGUAUUCCUCUAGUCUUUUCAAAUGAAUACAUGAUUUCGUUGAAGUCGCCACUUACCAACCAAGGAUAGUCUUUAUCCUGACCUAGUUUUCUUAAUAAAUUCAAAGAAACAUUCUUAUUACUUACACAAGGUGCACCAUAAAACCCCGUAAAUCUCUAUUCCUUAGCAACAUUAUCCUCCUUAAUCAAAGCAUCAAUGUGGCUUUUGGAGAAACUCCUUAACUUAACAGUAACUUCCCCUUUCCACGCCAAGCAUAGCCACCACGUAAACCUUUCGCUCCCAAAUCAAUUCCAUUCACAAAACUGCAUCUCCUUCUGACUUUUUCUAUACGUUUCUCAUCAAUUUUUGUCUCCAUAAAGAAGACCAUCUGGGGAUUGUGUUGCUUCAGCAAAUACCAAAGCCUAUGUACAGCCCAUAGACUCUCCAGUCCACGAACAUUCCAACAUAUAAUUUUCUUUGCGUCCGGUCAGCUUGCCUUUUGGCAGUCUCCGAUCCAUAUUGAUUGGGAACACAAAAUUGUUCUGAGUUUUCCAACGCCUAAUCUAAAGGAGUUACUACAUGUACAUCUUUAUUCUCGUGUUUUGUCCUUUUAUAUCCGUCUUCACAAGAAUUCAUCAUACUUCGCUCUUCAGUUUCUAUUUUUGCUUAUUUCCUCUUUCUCAUUAUGCUUUCUUCCUCAACUUGAUUCAUCAUUACCCCUGGUCUAAUUAUUUUCCAGCUUGUCUUCUUAACUGAUUUAGAUUUGUCUUCCAGUAUACUGUCUAUCCCGUUCAAUCUCUCAAUGUUCUCCAUAACAGACCCUUCUUCUUGUAUAUCACCUUCAUUAUGACAUUUGAACAUUCCAUCCUCAUACCUUGAUUUUGGUGCUGUAAACAUCCCCGACUGCCUAGUGUCGUACAUUAAGAUUUUUUAUUUUAAAUCUAUAUACGUCUUCUUUGCCUCCUCUUUUCGUUUUAGUUGUAAAUUAUCUUACAGGCUCUAAAACAUAGCAUUCCCAUCAUUUAGCUUUUUAUUUAUCCCAGAAAGCAUCCCAAUGUCACCUGUGUAGGAACAUUGGGGCAUCAUCUUUUUAGAGAGGGAGCUAAAUUUCAAAAUUUCUUUCCCAAUUUUAAAUUUAGUUAAGCUUUUAGUGCUAAUGAAUAUGGUAAAUCAUCUCCAAGUUUGUUCUUUUCUGCAGGUUUUAACUCGAUACAGUCCUUGAACCCAUACCUCAUUCGUCUACAUACAAAGAAGAAAGUCACCAAAUUCUCAUAUUUAAAGGAGAUACACGAUUUCCUUUGAAUACCUUCUGAGACGAAAAUUCUCCUACAUAGACGUUUCUGCACAUCCAAUUGGACUCUAAGAUGAUAAAAUUCUCCUUUCAGAUCUAAUUACUCCUCCAAAAGUAACUACUAUGGCUUUUAGGAAAUUUUUUUUGUCGAAUUCUGGUAAAUACGAUCCAAUCUUGAUCCAAUACGGUGAAGAAAUAAGCCGAAUUUGACUUCUUUCCAUCGGUUUAACCAACCGAUUGAAGAGUAUAAGUUGUUUCAUAAAUAGCCAUGGUCGACCCUCUAUAACUGUCUCUAGAUCUUCUUCAGUUUCAAACACAACCAAAAACAGAUUUUGCCCUGCCAGUUGAAUAUCAAAUUUUUUCCUAGUAUUCCAAAUACUUUUCAUUUGUGCCCUAAAACUGUCUGGAUUGUAAGAUUUUCCUAUCCAUACAGUACAUAACAAAGUUGGUUUCUCACUUGGUACAACCAUCGAGCUUUUGAUCGAUGAUUGGACGAGCUCUUUCGCCAGAAGGGAGAUCUCGUCUCUUCCCAAACUCUCUACGCCACUACUUUUCUCCAUCUCAAACCACAGUAGUUAUUGUUUUCUCUAUGACACUUAAGAAAAGCACUCUUGGCUAUUUUACAAUUAUAUAUAAAAUAAAACUAAUGUUUAACACUAUAAAUAUAUGCAUUAGUAAGGCAAUUUCAUUCAAGAUAAUAUUUAAAAAAUUACUGGAAAAUAAUAUUGUAGAAUUAUUUAAUAGGCUUUGUUUCCAUUAUCAUAAAAGAUGUGGUUUUUAUUAUUUGAGAUGUUUAUUCAUUAUUAUUUUAUAUUCCAUAGUUUUACUAUUAAUUAAUUUUAAUAAUCAUAAUUGUGAAUGUUAUUUAACAUUGUGUUGUGAAAUAUUAUACUAAAAACAAUAAAAUAUUAACAUAACCACUCUUGGUAGGUGAAAAUUUUACUCAUAUUCGAAUGACAAGUUAUCACUUAUAUAUUUAUAUAUACACUACAGUAAUACAAAGUUACAAUUCAGGAAAGUAAUCCAAUGUGGCAUAGUUUAAAAGUUGCCACAUGUACAUAUUGUUCAAAUUUGCAAACCUAAUAGUAAUUUAAAUUUUCAUUUAAAUGCUUAAAAUUUUUAACCUCCCCAACCCAGCCUAGGCGUUAGACUCGAAUUCGGAAGAUUACAUUAGUCAUUGGAAUGACCUAAUAAGUUAUCAUAGUUAAAAUUUCAUAAAAACUCAUGAAAUAAUAAAAAUUUAUUAAGUUAUAUUUUUUCGUAUAAUGGUGAUUUCUUUUGAAACUUAGCUAAUCCCUAAUUUAUUUAUUACCUAAAUUUCAGUUAUAACCUAGCAGUGGAAAGGGAUAUUCAAUUUAGUUUUUAAUUACUAUUCAUAAUCUGAUGUCCUAAACUUAAAUCAAAUGUCUUGCAAGAUAUAUAUAUAAACCCAAAUCCUAUGUCACAUGCCACAAUUCAAAAUAAAAUAAUAGUCUAUGAAUAAUAGAAUUAUCAUAUAAAAAGCCUAAAAUAUUUUAAUAAAUAAACCGAGCCAAAACCCUAUAGAUGUCGUGUUCGCGUUCUAACCAGGCGGGUUAUCUGUAGAGAAGGAAAUGAGCUAUAAAGCUCAGUGUGAGUUUCAUUAUAAAAAAACCAAUGCAAACGACUAAGUAUACAGAAACACGACACAUAGAAUAACGCAUUUUCUAGUUCCUACGUGGUCUCCUCAGUGUUGUAGUUCUGCCACAGAACCUUGAGAAGUAGGAUCCAUUUCCUUCUCAGAAUCUUUGUCACGAUCUAAAAUUUGUACGGGUUCUUUUUCAAAGGACAAAUAUGAGAAGGGUCAGAUCAGUAUCGUCUUAACAUAGAGAAGUGGAAUACAUCAUGAAUAUGGUCCAAUCUGGAGGUAAUUCUAAUUGGUACGCUAUUAGACCAAAUCUUUUAAGAAUUCUAUAAGGUCCGAUGAACCUAAGACUUAAUUUUUCUUUUUUCCCAAACAUCAACACUUUUUGUCAUGGGGACACUUUUAGGAAGAUUUGAUCUCUGACACUGUACUCAAUGUCUUUCCUCUUUAAGUCUGCAUAUGACUCCUACCUAUCCAAAGUUGCUUUUAUUCUAUCCUAAAUCAAUUUGAUUUUCCCUUCGGACUCCUGUAUCACUUCCGGAAUCUAAAUUUUCCUUUCACCCAGUUUGGUCCAACACAGUGGUGUUUGACUUGUUCGACCAUACACAACUUCAUAGAGUGCCAUUUGUAUACUCGAUUGGGAGCUAUUGUUAUAGGCAAAUUCUGCUAGAGCAAAUGUUCCUCCCAACUACCUCGAAAUUCUAUGAUGUAGCCUCUUAACAUAUUGUUCAAUAUAUGAAUAACUUGUUCGGAUUGCCUGUCAAUUUGUGGAUAGAAGGCAGUAUUAAAAUCCAAAUGAGUACCCAGCGCCUCGUGAAGCUUUUUCCAGAAUUGAGAUGUAAAACGGGGAUCUCGAUCUAAGAUGAUAUAGAAUGGUACUCCAUGCAAUCUUACAAUUUUUGAAAUAUAUAACCUGGCAGCAGAAAGAGUUAUUUUAUUUAGUUUUUAAUAAAAGUCAAGGUUCAUGCAUAUCUAAUUACUAUUCAUAAUCUGAUAUCCUAACCUUAAAUUAAAUGUCAUGCAAGUUAUAUAUAUAAAAAAACCCAAAUCCUAUGUCUCAUGCCACAAUUCAAAAUCAAAUAAUGUAGUAUAUGCAUAAUAGAAUAAUCAAAUAAAAAGCCUAAAAUAUUUUAAUAGAUAAAACCAAGCCAAGAUCUUCUGUAUGUCGUGUCCGUGUCCUAACUUGGUGGGUUAUCAGUAGAGAAGGAAAUGAAAAAGGAGUGAGCUAAGAAGCUCAGUGUAAGUUCCGUCACAAGAAAAUCAGUGCAAAUGACUAAGCAUACAAAAACACAAUACAUAGAAUAACUUAUAAUAGUAAUUUCAAAUUAUCGGUAUUUUAGAUCACUCAACAGUAUAUAUAUGACAUCUUAAAAUCUCAUAAUUGUAUGCACAUGCUUUUGUGAAUGCAAUAAAAUUUUUGUUUAAUAGAAAGGGUCUUACCCCACGACUACACACCACAAUAGGAGUUCCCCUGAACUCCAACCACCUACAGACUUGGUUGUGGUUUUAACCACCAAUGGUUUGUGGAUAAAUUGCUAAUGGUUGUGGACACGCAGCAAAAACAUCGUAGAUGAAAUUUUCCUAUGGUUCUUGGUACACAACAAAAACACCACAGAUGGAAUCUGCCUAUGGUUGUGGGUACAUAAUAAAAUAAUGCAGAUAAAAUCUACCACUAGCUGUAGAUGCACAACAUGUCUGCAGGUAAGAGCUGCCAAUAGAUUGUGGAUGCACAAAAUAAUUGCAGUUAAGGGAAAAACACUACUAAUGGUUGUGGGUGCAUAAGAUGAACUACCAACACUUUCUUCUUACAUAUCAUCCCACCACAUGUAAUACAAUAAGAUAUAUUCAAAAUAGAUUAAUAUGGUGGCAUUUAAUAUGCUUUUAAUAGAACAUUAGAGUAGCAAUUACUAUGCUUCUAACGGAUCAAUUUAGUAGCAAAAAAUAUGUUUAUCAUGUGUUCGAUUUUACAAUAAUAUAAGGCAUGUUCAACAUGCCAUUAGUAGUACAGAUGCAUUAGGCAUAUAUUAUUCACUUAACACGUAUAUCCAAUACUAUUUCGGUUAAUUAGAAUAUGCAUUCCAAUAUUUAUAUUCUCAAAGAUUCAAUUGAAAGAAAUAAAUCUCUAAAAAUAAUUUGGAGACUAUCUAGGGAUUAAACUGAAUAAAUUAUAAAAUUAUAGGCAAAAUUAUAAAAUUCUAAAGAAAAGGGUCACAUGGCUGUAUGGCCAGGCCGUGUGAGAGGGUUGAAGUUGGGUGGAGGGGUUACAUAACCAUGUGACCAGGCCGUGUAAUAGACUGUAGUUACAUGGAAUUCACAAAAACAAGUUACAGGGGAGGCACAGCUGUGUGGCAGGUUGUGUAGGAGGAUCUUGGUCGUGAGAGAUUUGAACUAGCGUAAUGUUUUAGAGGUACAUGACCGUGUAAGGGGCUGUGUGGUGCAUAUGCCCGAGUGAAAAAUCGUGUGGCCCUAAUCCUAAGCACUGUUUACCCCGGUUCACUUGUAAGAGAAUGUACACCUUUCACCGGAAGCCCGAACGACGUCCCUUGCAGACAAGUUUGAUCUGAUGCACCUAAAACAUGUCAUUCAAAUGAUGUUUUUUGCUUGAAUUAGCAAUUAAUUCCAAGAUUUGAUGAAUUAAUUGAAAGAUCUGGCAAGAACCACAAGAUAACAUAAUCGGAUUUAAAAAUUAGUGUGGAUCAGUGCUACUUGAGUUUUUAUGAGUUUUACUAAUUGAAACGAGAAUAUUUACUGAACUUUUGACAAAGAUUCGGGCUAUGGAUAAUGAAUUUGACAACUAAUAGAUAAAUGGUUUAAUAGAAAUUGAUUUUGGUUUGAGAAAAGCAAAAAUAAUUCUCAGUGGUAAAAUUGAAGUAUGAUGAAAAGAAAAUGAGGAGAAAAAGGAAGAAGAAGAUAAAGAGUAAAGAAGAGCAAUUCUAAUUGGAAUGGAAAAAAAAUCCUAAUGUAAUUAAGAAAAAAGUGACUAAAUACCUAGGGUUUUCAAACUUCAAGGGGAUGCAUGGUAAUUUGCCCUUUCUACCAAAAUAAAUGGAAAUGAAAAGGGUUUUAGGGUGGCUUGAACAUGGGUAUCCAAGGGAAAGAAGCAAGCAUGCAACCAUUAGGCCUAAGCAUAUUUCUUAUUAAGUUUUCACUCGUAAUAAUAUAUAUUUUAGUGUGAUUUUUAUCCUAAUUUGCUAAAAUUAAAAAGAAAAGAAAUGGGGGAGGAGUGGUUUGAACCUAAGAUCUCCAAGGAGUGGACAAACUACUUAACCAUCAAACCUAUUCAAUUUCUUGAUUUUUUUUUUUGCAAUUAACCCCUUAUAUUUUGGGGUGUGACAAAAUUAGCUUAGUCAAUUGCUAAAUUCCUAUUUGAAUAAGAAUAUGGAUAUAUCUAUAUAUAUAGAUGUAUAUAUCAAUAUUCCUUAUAAUUAUGAUGCAUAGUAAAUAAAAUUUCAAAGUACUAGAUUAAUUAAAUAAAUACAACAAAAAAUUGAAUAUUUUUUUAAUCGGGGUAAUACAUUUUCAACAAGUAAAUGCUAAAAAGUAUCAAACACUCCCAGUAAGUAUGCUUGUUGUUUAUAGGUGUCAAUGCUUAAUAAUUGUUGACUUUGAGUGAACAAUUUCAUUGCCUUUUCAAUAAAAAAAUUCAUUGCCUUAAUUAUGAAUAAUUUCAUUAUCUGAAUAUUCAGAUUCUUACCACUGGCAAGUUCUCUCUGUGAGGGUGAUGGGGAUGAGGGACGUUCUACAGAAGACCAAAUCACUAAGAAGGUACAGUUUAAGGAUAAGAACGCAGAACUGAACAUAAUCAAGGCGAUGGAUUUGACUCCUAAAUCGAAUUUUUCUUGGAAAGAGAGAUUAAUGGUGAAAAACCUUACUGACCUGGAAAGGGUAGCUGAAAAUACAUAAUUAGAAGUGGAUGAUGAUUUUAAUUAUUGCGAAGGGGAUAUCUGUAACGCAUAAGUUUGUGCAAGUGUACACAGUCGUUAUCAAGUAAUAAGUAAGUAUCGAGUUAUCAUCUCCACAAGGAUUGUAUUUGCGCUAAGUCACUUAAUUUGUAAAAUUAUAUUAACAAAUUGGUAAAGAAAAAUACGAUAUAAUUGAGAAGUGGUGAUUGAAAUAUAUUAAACUAAAUGCAAUGAUCCCUAAUGCAAAUUAUCCUAAGUUUGCAAACUAUAUGAAUGAAAUAGAUUUUAGUAAAAUUAAACACAAUUUGCAAUAAUUAUAACAUAAAUAAACUAAGAAAAUUACUUUAAUUAAACACAAUUUAUUAUCAACAUGCUUAAUAACAUUUGGAAAAUUAUUCCAUGGCAACUUGAUCUUUCAUGAGUUUGGAAACCAUAUUAGGUCCUUUCGGAAUCAUUUACUUAGUAAAUACGCAUUUUACUGAUCCUUAUUUACUAAGGGUUUCUUAGCAUUCGUGUGAGGUAACAGGGACUUGUCAAGUUUGAAACAAUUUAAUCACACAAAUCUAAAAACUAUGCAUAUAACAGAGCUUGGUCAGAGUUGUUAUGCAACCUCCAAUUUAAUCGGGUCAGGAUUUAAAUUGAGCAUGCACAAUUCAAUUAUGUGUCCAUUAGCCGUCGUCCGGUCAAGAUCGCUC
This 11315-nucleotide long non-coding RNA is filed under the name Gossypium barbadense (sea-island cotton). RNAcentral's name for it is "long non-coding RNA (GBAR_LNC017345)". The record is from RNAcentral. Lineage: Eukaryota; Viridiplantae; Streptophyta; Magnoliopsida; Malvales; Malvaceae.